GGGACUGUGGCUUAGUGGUAGAGUACUUACCUAGUAUGCAUGAAGCCCUGGGUUCAAUUCCUCAGUACCA
Molecule: transfer RNA, 70 nt
Filed under: Dipodomys ordii (Ord's kangaroo rat)
Lineage: Eukaryota; Metazoa; Chordata; Mammalia; Rodentia; Heteromyidae
Rfam family: tRNA
About the family: Transfer RNA (tRNA) molecules are approximately 80 nucleotides in length.
Source: Rfam by way of RNAcentral